This is a long non-coding RNA of Phyllopteryx taeniolatus (common seadragon), 1114 nucleotides long. RefSeq lists it as uncharacterized. The record is from RefSeq and is a predicted model, not a curated record. The transcript has 3 exons. Lineage: Eukaryota; Metazoa; Chordata; Actinopteri; Syngnathiformes; Syngnathidae.
AGGCAGCUGUGAAUGAAAGACAGCCGGGCGGAAGGACAUCGCAAGCGCUGCAAGGUGUUGGCACGCUCUGUGCACAAGAAUGUGACGACAAAUACAAAUGAAGAAGAAACAGAGGUGGAGGAGAGGCUCAAGUGUGCAGUGGAAGAAAAAGCCGCUGUGGGAUGACCAGGAAGGGGGGAAACCAUGACAAGGGCAAACGUGUCGGAUGGCGAAUGUUCUGCAAGCACUUCAAACGAGUCCCAGUUUAUACAUUUAUUCAAGUCAUUGAUCAAGCCGAACCAAUGGAGGGCACAAUUGAAACCAUACAAGAGCUCUCCUUCCAGGGAAUCCUAGCUAAGAUGAUGCGGUACAAUAUGAUAUGGCCGCACCGAACCACCCAAAAGCUCACUUUGUGCUCAACUGGCCGUGACCACGCUAACAGAGCGCCCAUCCAAGCGUGACCCAUUCGAGCCCAAUGCAUCCGGAUGAGUUUUUCUUUUUUCCGCGGAUGUGUGCUGAGAUCAAAUGCUUUGAGUGCCCGCGAGCGUGAGUCGGAUUCUUGAACUGGAUCAUAUUCCGAUGCGCAAUGUUUGACACGUGAUUACUCCCACAGCUGACCCAAUUAAUCAAUGAGACUAUUUCAAUGUUUCUCAACUUUUAUUGAGCCUAGGGAAAUAUUUUACAUAAUUUAAAAAACUCACAGGACAAUACCAAACCGAAAUACAGCUGUACUUUUUCAUCGCAGAGUAACGUCUAACUUCAUCGCGAUAUGUCGAUGAUACUAUCACAAAACUGUGAUUUAUGCGGUAAUCGAGAAAAUAUGGUUUGGCACAAUACGACACGGUGCACUGUCGUACGAUACAGUACCAUACGGUAUGGUAUGGUUGAUAUUUUAAAUUAAUUUUUUGUCCAUUUGUUCGCUCAAUAAUUGAUUGGGUUUGUUGCGGUAUGGUAUGGUUUUUUUUUUUCACCCUUGCUUAUUAAUAUAAAUGUGAAAUCAUUUCCCCUUCUAUUCCUCUCCCUUGUUUUAAAACAAAUUGAUGUAAAAUGUAGUGAGGCGCCAUAAUUAAUUGGAUUUUUUUUUUUCAAAUUCUUAUUUGUGUCACCGCUUGAUUAGAGGCUGUUAACGUGACGA